CUUUUUAUUACUUGUCAGAUCAAAUGCACAAGCAAAACAUCUGUCGAGAACUAGAUUUGGUUUCUGAAGAAAAUGAGAGUUUUUCUUGUUUGGGAGUUGUGUGUGGUUCCUAGGUAACCCAAGUCAAAGGAAUUCACACCUAAGUGUAUAUAUCAAUAUAGUUUGAUUAAGUUAAAGUGUAAUACUUAUUGUCUGGAGUUUCUUUGAAUCACUAACACAACAGUAAUAGCUAUAUGAAUAAUCAAGCACCAUUAACUAGCUCAAUGAAAAGCCAUCAGGACAUCAGUCUCUCAUGGAAAAUCCCAGCAAUCCCUGAAAAUAUUGUGAGCACAUUUUAGAGACUCGUACAGUAUUACAGGAAACACUCUGCACUUCAUGAAAUGAGAGAUCUUCUAGAAAGCUCUCCAGAUAAUUCUGCAUCCCAUCACAAGUGCUUACCGGCUCUAUUUAUGCCUGGUAAGUACCCUAGAGAGAGUGUGUGAGGGUCUCUGCGGUAUAUUGCUCUGUCAAUAUGCCCCACUUGCAGGUACACAAGUCUGGGAUGAAGUCGCUGACAAACACGAGGAAGAGAUGACGACUUUGUCAUCAUUUAUUGUUGCCUUUUUCCUUCUAGGAUUCUCUUGUUCUUCACGGAGCGAGAGUUGUGUGGGUAAGUGUUGUGAGACGGGGCUCGUUUAAAGACAGGUUGUCAGUAUAUCAGUGUGUGAGUGUGUGUUUGUGUCCUCAGCAGGUAACGUCAGUUUGUUGGUGUCUGUCAGCAAUAACUCGACUCUGCUGGUUGACUGGAACAGCGGGAGCAAACAGACGACCCAAUGUGCUCUGCUCAUCUCAAGCGAAGGAAGACAGGAGAUCCAGAUACACCUUUUACCAAGGUCUGGAUCUCUGCUGUUGGAAAACAUGACAGACAAUAGCAAACACUCCUUCUUAUGCACUUGUUUUGAACAAUCUCGGGGACUCUUGUGCUCCAAGAACAUAAGCUUUGUUAUGGGCGCUGUUUCCAGACCACCUCUGGUCCUGAUGUCAAAUACUCAAAGCUCUGCCAGUUAUAUCAGCAUCUCUGGAGGUGUUCCUCAUGUUAUCCGAGUGUGAACGAGUUAACACAUCUGCUUAGCUGCCAUCAGUGCGAAUGGCAUGACUCACAUCCUCUGAGAACAUCAACAGUGGUGACUUUAAAAUGCAGAAUCUCAUUUAUGCAGCAUCACUAAAGGAAGACAUUACCUGUUUUAUGCAUAAUUUUCUGCACACCUCCGUAUCAGCCUCAGCGAGCUAAUGAUUAAACAGGGAAAUGGGCUGUCACAUCCUGAGCCCAGGAAAUGGCACAGGGCCAGGAAUUAGAAGAACACGUUUAGCAAAGGAAACAGGAUGGUGAAGCAUUAAAAAGUUGUAGAAAAGGCACAAGUGGAUGGUACAUGAAUUAUAGAUACUAUAAGAGAGUUGGAUAAGAAUUUUUUGUGCUUGCUUUGUUUUAGCACCUGAUUUGCUAAAGGAAUUAUGUGCAUAAGAAAACUUUUUAUUUUAAUUUUUUAUAAUGUCACAAUUUUCAUAAAUAAAAUGUAGCUCAAAGUGCUUCA
Cyprinus carpio (common carp) is the source of this 1571-nucleotide long non-coding RNA. The record is from Ensembl. NCBI's taxonomy places the organism in Eukaryota, Metazoa, Chordata, Actinopteri, Cypriniformes, Cyprinidae.